This 62-nucleotide transfer RNA is filed under the name Branchinecta paludosa. Its description in RNAcentral is "tRNA-Thr". It matches the Rfam family "tRNA". From Rfam's summary of the family: Transfer RNA (tRNA) molecules are approximately 80 nucleotides in length. Their secondary structure includes four short double-helical elements and three loops (D, anti-codon, and T loops). Further hydrogen bonds mediate the characteristic L-shaped molecular structure. tRNAs have two regions of fundamental functional importance: the anti-codon, which is responsible for specific mRNA codon recognition, and the 3' end, to which the tRNAs corresponding amino acid is attached (by aminoacyl-tRNA synthetases). tRNAs cope with the degeneracy of the genetic code in two manners: having more than one tRNA (with a specific anti-codon) for a particular amino acid; and 'wobble' base-pairing, i.e. permitting non-standard base-pairing at the 3rd anti-codon position. Lineage: Eukaryota; Metazoa; Arthropoda; Branchiopoda; Anostraca; Branchinectidae. The record is from RNAcentral.
GACUAAAUAGUUAAAAAAUAACAUUGGCCUUGUAAGUCAAAAUUGAAUAUUUUCUUUAGUCU